This 460-nucleotide ribosomal RNA is filed under the name uncultured bacterium. Its description in RNAcentral is "partial 16S ribosomal RNA". It matches the Rfam family "Bacterial small subunit ribosomal RNA", at positions 338 to 795 of the family's 1533-position model. The record is from RNAcentral.
CCUACGGGUGGCAGCAGUGAGGAAUAUUGGUCAAUGGACGAGAGUCUGAACCAGCCAAGUAGCGUGAAGGAUGACUGCCCUAUGGGUUGUAAACUUCUUUUAUAUGGGAAUAAAUUGUUCCACGUGUGGGAUUUUGUAUGUACCAUAUGAAUAAGGAUCGGCUAACUCCGUGCCAGCAGCCGCGGUAAUACGGUGGAUCCGAUCGUUAUCCGGAUUUAGUGGGUUUAAAGGGAGCGUAGGUGGAUUGUUAAGUCAGUUGUGAAAGUUUGCGGCUCAACCGUAAAAUUGCAGUUGAAACUGGCAGUCUAGAGUACAGUAGAGGUAGGCGGAAUUCGUGGUGUAGCGGUGAAAUGCUUAGAUAUCACGAAGAACUCCGAUUGCGAAGGCAGCUCACUGGACUGCAACUGACACUGAGGCUCGAAAGUGUGGGUAUCAAACAGGAUUAGAUACCCGGGUAGUC